Molecule: ribosomal RNA, 405 nt
Filed under: uncultured bacterium
Lineage: Bacteria
Description: partial 16S ribosomal RNA
Rfam family: Bacterial small subunit ribosomal RNA
Source: RNAcentral
AUUGAACGCUGGCGGCAGGCUUAACACAUGCAAGUCGAACGAGUGGCGGACGGGUGAGUAAUGCUUGGGAAUCUAGCUUAUGGAGGGGGAUAACUACGGGAAACUGUAGCUAAUACCGCGUACCAUAGGAUGAGCCCGAGUGGGAUUAGGUAGUGGGUGAGGUAAAGGCUCACCAGGCCGAGGAACUCUAGCUGGUCUGAGAGGAUGACCAGCCACCCUGGGACGGAGACACGGCCCAGCCCCCUACGGAAGGCAGCAUUGGGGAAUAUUGCGCAAGGGGGGCAACCUGCCGCAGCCAGGCCGCGUGAAUGAAGCAGGCUUUCGGGUUUUAAACUCCUUUCGGUAGCGAGGCGUUACCUACAGAAGAAGCACCGGCUAACUCCGUGCCAGCAGCCGCGGUAAUAC